AGUGAACGCUGGCGGUAGGCCUAACACAUGCAAGUCGAACGGCAGCACAGUAAGAGCUUGCUCUUACGGGUGGCGAGUGGCGGACGCGUGAGGAAUACAUCGGAAUCUACUUUUUCGUGGGGGAUAACGUAGGGAAACUUACGCUAAUACCGCAUACGACCUACGGGUGAAAGCAGGGGAUCUUCGGACCUUGCGCGAUUGAAUGAGCCGAUGUCGGAUUAGCUCGGUGGCGGGGUAAAGGCCCACCACGGCGACGAUCCGUAGCUGGUCUGAGAGGAUGAUCAGCCACACUGGAACUGAGACACGGUCCAGACUCCUACGGGAGGCAGCAGUGGGGAAUAUUGGACAAGGGGGGCAAGCCUGAUACAGCCAUACCGCGUGGGUGAAGAAGGCCUUCGGGUUGUAAAGCCCUUUUGUUGGGAAAGAAAAGCAGCAGGUUAAUACCCCGCUGUUCUGACGGUACCCAAAGAAUAAGCACCGGCUAACUUCGUG
Molecule: ribosomal RNA, 492 nt
Filed under: uncultured bacterium
Lineage: Bacteria
Description: partial 16S ribosomal RNA
Rfam family: Bacterial small subunit ribosomal RNA
Source: RNAcentral